GUGCUUGCUUUGGCAGCACAAAUACUAAAAUUUGAACAAUACAGCGAUACAGAGAGGAUUAGCAUACCCCUCCCCCGCAAAAAAGAC
This 87-nucleotide small nuclear RNA is filed under the name Cervus elaphus hippelaphus. Lineage: Eukaryota; Metazoa; Chordata; Mammalia; Artiodactyla; Cervidae. The record is from RNAcentral.